Helianthus annuus (common sunflower) is the source of this 669-nucleotide long non-coding RNA. RefSeq lists it as uncharacterized. The record is from RefSeq and is a predicted model, not a curated record. NCBI's taxonomy places the organism in Eukaryota, Viridiplantae, Streptophyta, Magnoliopsida, Asterales, Asteraceae. The transcript is spliced from 5 exons.
UCACAAUCAAACAGAAGAGGAGUUAGGAAUUCCAAAGUUCGUCCUCUUUAUUCUUCUCUUCUCAAAACCAUCCAUUGCCAUCCAUUUGCAUAUUCAGAGAAGACAGAAAGAACCAGAGAAGACAGAGAGAGCAGUGCCGUUUCUAAAUCACAACCUUCAUCGAGUCGAUCCUUUUCUUGAUGGAAGGAGGAAUUUGUUCACUCCGGCAUCAUAGUUGUCGCACCAACUGUCACAGGGUUCGGAUAUUGCGGCAGAGCAUCACUGCAUCAGAUGCCCUAGCAGGCGAUUUGAUCAGAUUGCUCUUCAUGUUGGGAGAUAUAUUGUGACCAUGAUGAGCACUGGAGUGAUCUUGUUGAUUGGAUUCAGUCUGUCAAGUUGACUGAAGGUGGAGAUGGUCAAACAAAUGAUUUGGUAUACUUGGGUUGGUGGUAUUAUCAUUGGAAUCAUGAUUGGUUCAAACAUGGUUUUAGACGAAGUGAGCCGAGCCGAUCCUUGAAAUGUUGUAAUUCCCGGAAGUACUAGAGGGCUUGGUAAAGCUCUUGCUCGCGAAUUCCUAUUUUCUGGAGAUCGGGUGGUUAUUGCUUCACGAAGGCAACUCAAAAGCGGAUUCAGGAAUCCAAGCCGGAAAGGAUACUCGUCUAAAAGGAAAUCUCUAAGGUACGUAGCUAC